Molecule: long non-coding RNA, 400 nt
Organism: Sitophilus oryzae (rice weevil)
Lineage: Eukaryota; Metazoa; Arthropoda; Insecta; Coleoptera; Curculionidae
Exons: 2
Source: RefSeq, a predicted model, not a curated record
GUUUUCAACUGGAGGGAAGGACUGGGGAAAAUAAGAAGCGACGCGCUAGCCAGAGAAGAGGAGUUCCUACACCACCACCACCGACAGUACUAGCACCAGCUCCAGCACCAGCACCAGCAGUCACAGUCGCCGCAGUCCGCCCCGCAGAAGCCAGCACCGAGACACCGCCGCCGCCUAGCAGUUGGGAAGCCUGCCCGUCCUCCGUUUUUAUUGAAUUCACCGUCGCUCCGAAACCGCCCGCAAGAUUUGCUCCAACCCGGUGACGAGACUCUCCGCAUCGGAGCCAAUUUAAGCGCUAGGUGUCUCAACUAGCCACCUACACAUCGCCUUGCCUUCCGCCCAGAUUUAACUUGUAAAUAGUUUUGGGAAAACACGACCUGCUCUUUAUUUUAUAACUACA